ACUCUUCUAAUGGAUUGCUGUUUCCGCUGCAUUUGUUGAUCUAAAACUUGUUGUCUAUUGUAUUCUAUUAGAUUUUUCCCUGUUGAAGACUAACGAUAAUUUGUUGUAUAUUAUCUUAGUCAUAAUAUUCUUUACUGGGCUAGUUGAGCUCACCCUUUUCCUUUUUGUUCCAUUUUUCUUCUCAGGAUGUGAGAACAUAGCAGGAUCGAGUCGGG
RNAcentral lists this long non-coding RNA (215 nucleotides) under Panax ginseng (ginseng). RNAcentral describes it as "long non-coding RNA (PGIN_LNC013215)". Lineage: Eukaryota; Viridiplantae; Streptophyta; Magnoliopsida; Apiales; Araliaceae. The record is from RNAcentral.